AGAUCGAUGGGGCUUCACAGAGGUGGCCCAGUUGUGCCAGAGGGCCAGACUUUGGCGGUAUGUGAGGUCUGAGGACAGGGGCACUGGAGGCAAAGGACGAGACACCAGUGCCUGUUUCCAGGCAGCCAGGGCCUCAGAAACUCCGGCACCAACACUCAACAGUCCGUAGAGGCCAUUACCAGGGCCACCUUAUUUGUGAGUGGGUCCCGGCGGGUCAUCCCGGAGCUGGCCAUCCGCACCAACUUCCAUGCCCGGGCACAGAGGCCUAGCUGCCCCGCCUUGUGCAUGGCUCAGACCAGCAA
Molecule: non-coding RNA, 302 nt
Filed under: Pongo abelii (Sumatran orangutan)
Lineage: Eukaryota; Metazoa; Chordata; Mammalia; Primates; Hominidae
Source: RNAcentral